RNAcentral lists this long non-coding RNA (1039 nucleotides) under Calidris pygmaea (Spoon-billed sandpiper). Its description in RNAcentral is "lncRNA (ENSCPGG00000007433.1)". The record is from RNAcentral. Lineage: Eukaryota; Metazoa; Chordata; Aves; Charadriiformes; Scolopacidae.
AUGCUCAUCCUUUGCCACCCACGACUUCCUCUGGACGCGCACCUUGGCUUGGGCAACACGAGAACCGCACUGGGGACCUCGCAUCCUUCUUCUUCAAAAGGAAGUGGUGUGAAGCAAUUCAGCAAAAGGGCAGGGUCACAAAGACCUGAAAUACAUUCCUCUGCACUCCAACCUCCGCCCAUCCUCUCCAAACCACAAAGGCAUGUGCUCAGUGAUGAUUUCCCAGUGCCUAUUUCUCUUUUUUGGUUAUGGUGAAAAUGGCGUGACUAAUCAUGACAAUGCAAAGUACAAGAAUUACUUGGUUGCUGGUAUCAGUGCUUUAGUGGAAAAUAUACUUCACCACCCACUGGAUCAAAAAUAUUAACCCAGUCUCUGGUACAUUAACCCCUGCUGCUGCAGUUCUGUGUGAGGCUUGGGGAUGGCACGCUCAACAGAAGUGCAUAUUCUGCCACUUCAGCAGGCUGUUAAACUAAUACUUCAACUUCCCUCUGAGAAGACAUAUACUGGGAAGAAAGACGUCCAACAGAUCAUGCAGAAAAUUAGCUUUUCCAUAUUUCUCUGAGGAGAUGCCAUCCUGGAGAAGAUGGUUGGAGCUUCCUAGAAACAAGCAAUAGACAAACCUUGGCUUUCCUAACAUCCAGUGUUUUCGACAACUUUGCUUUUGGCUCCCUCUACUUCCCCAUCUUUUUCACCCUCCAGUUGGUCUGUCCUCUAUCCUGCCUCAUUGCAUGCAUAGAAAGCUCCACUUUAAGGCAUGUGCAAAUUCACACAAAACAUGAACACUGUUUUGACAACAUGGGACUUGCGCUGGGUCUCUGUGGGGCAGGACGGUGUGUGCUAAGCAGUGGGUUACUGCCAGACUCUGUUCCCAAGCUCUCACUGAAUCACAAGGCUGCAAAUUUUACUCAGAUGGGUUUCCACAGUCUUCAGGAAUAGCAUAUAUUUAAAUUACCACAUCUCUAGUUCCCAGUUUUGGAUUUCCUUCUGCCCUGUGCUGUUCUUUUGUGUGCUCCCCUGUGAAGGAGUACAUAUCUUCCUG